GGGAGGGAGAGAGAGAGAGAGGGAGGGAGGGAGAGAGAGAGAGAGAGAGCACUUACAGUUCAGGCCUCAGGCUCUGUGCUCCCUCUUUAGGAAGGACAGACAGGUGAGGGAGGGAGACAGUCACAUCAGACUGAUGAUCGGGAUGAUGGUCGACUGAUGAGACACCUGAACAGGUGAUCCUCUCAGGGGUCUUUGAGUUUCAACACGAGAAUAUUUAAAAAUGAGGAUUUGUUCACGUACAGAACAGACCAAAAGUUUGGACUCACCUUCUCAUUCAGUGUCUUUUCUUUAUUUUUAUACGACUGUUUACAUUGUAGAUUCUGACUGAAGGCAUCAAAACUAUGAAUGAACACAUGAGGAAUUAUGUACUUCAGAAAAAAGUGAAAUAACUGAAAACAUGUUUUAUAUUCUAGUUUCUUUAAAGUAACCACCCUUUGCUCUGGAUGACAGAAGUUCUCUGAUACAUGUUAGCCAAUGAAAAGCUCCGUUACAUCACUACACACCUGGAUUUAUAACUUUGUUUGACCAUUAAGCGACCUUCACACUCCUGUCUUCAAUCAUCAGUUUAAGUGAAAUAAUCCAGGUUUCAUGUAGAUCUGAUUCAGGUCCGAGUCUGUGCUCACGUACCUGCACAAUCCAGGUGGUUCUGACUGUUUAUAAAUGAGAGGAUCUGCCGUGUUUCACUGAUCUUACAGGUUUGUCUGUAAAAUAUCAGGAGGCUGAAACCGUCGACUUUUGCUUUAGAGUCAGUGUGACGUGGGUGAAGGAGUAUUCUGACAUUUUCACACCACAGGAAAAUACACCGGAGAAAAUUACGAGGCCAGCUCCAAAAACAGCUCCUAUGAGGGGCUGAAAGUCCAGUCAGGUCCGGCUCAUAGUAACCCGGUUAGUUUUUACACCGUCUGUCAGGAAAGUCAGAAUUCUAAAAACUAAGAUUUGGUUUAAUGAGCUCUGAUAGAGAAAAGUUUGAAGUUUAAAACAACAGUUUGAUAACAGAAGAACUGUGAUAUAAAAACAUAGAGAACAGCUGAUCAGAGAGAGAGAGAGAGAGAGAGAGAGAGAGAGAGAGAGAGAGAGAGAGAGAGAGAGAAACGAGAGUGAAGCAGAAAUCAGGAAAAUAUGUUCAGAGGAGAAACUGUCAGAAGAACGAGCUGUAAAUAAAUCUACAAGAGAGACGUUCAGAUAAACGCAGCUACAGAGAGGCAGUUAGUGUGUCAUUAAUGCACUCAGACAGACAGACGCACACACACACACACACACACACACACACACACAGACGGAGUGGCCAGCAGAGCCUCUGAUAAGAAGUUGGACUUUGGUCUGUCAUUCGUGGGUGUUGCAAAGAGGCCCGAGAUAAAACUGCUGGCCUGAGAGACGAACACAGAGGAGGCGGCUGAUUACGUUUAACCUGACACUGUGUGUGUGUGUGUGUGUGUGUGUGUGUGUGUGUGUGUGUGACGAACAGGGAGGACAGUAUCGAUCGGAGCAGGAACAUGGGCUCAGGGACGCAGCAGAUUCUCAGCAGCCGGCCUCCCCUCUGCUGAGCGGAGCGGGUUAAAGGUUGAGGUGCAGGUUUCUGGAGCGGUUGCUGGUUCUGAUCCCGGAGUCUCUGGACUGUAAGAUCCUCUGAUCUUUGUGCCCUGGAGCAAAUGUUCAACCUGAACUUUGAGCAAACAGGUUUUUGUCUCUGUAAAUGACCGCAGGCUGAGAGGAUCCUGCAGAAAUAAUCGAUUUAUUUCAGGUGCAGAAAAUUCAGUUUCAGUCCGUCCUGAUGUUUCCCUCAUCGGCUGAACUCUUGGCGUGUUUUCGGUCAGAUCUGAGCGCGCUCUCUCCGCUCUGCUGUAUUUCUGUUGGUGUUUCCUCGGCUGUAUCCUCCUCCGUCUGUUUGCUCUGACCCAGUUUCCCCUCUCACAGCAUUAAAGUUUCAUCUUAUCUUAUCUUAAUUUCUCACAGUAACAUUGUGUCUGUUGUGAUUACACACAAAACACCUGCUGGGUUUGCUCUGUAACAUGAUCCCCGCUGGAUUUCAAAAUAAAAGUCACGUGUGCUGAGAAGUUGUUGUGGUGUCUGUGAUGAAAUCUCUUAUAUCAGAGGUUCUUCUCCUCUCUUCUUCUCUCAGGAUGUUUGGAUAUGCAGCCGAGGAGGAGUGAAGAUCAAUAUCCUCAGGACUUCGUACCGCUCCUCUUCUCGUGUGAGCGCUGAGGGCCUCAGGUUGGAUUUUACGACGCUCCACAGGGGAACCCCCUCUCGGCAGGUUUCUCUUUUAUCACCUGGAUCCACAAAUUCACCUUGAUUUCCUGUUUGAUUUCACGCUGCAUACAUGGAGAGGAAAUCCACCCGAAAAAUGCAAAUUCACUCUAAUCAGGAGAUAGUUCUGGCAGGCUGCCUGUACAACCACAUUCAGCGGUGACGGACGUUUCAGAGAAGCUGCUCAGCUCUGACGUCUGAGUGAAGCUGGAGGGGAAUCUAAAAUCCGACAGUCAAGUUUGAGCUCAGCCAAUCAGAGAGUCUGCAGGUGAACAGUCGCGGCUAACAUUAGCGUACCGAGCGUCACAAGGUGUCAGGGUACAGUGUGUUGAUCCGAACUGGGUGAUUAAUCCGAUUUUAACUCUGACUACGACUAUUUUAAUCUACGAUGGUUUUCUUUGAAUCUCGUUUCUGCAGACUGCCUCGUGUGGACACUCUGAGAACUGCAGCUUUUAGUUUUCUCUCUUUUUACCCACAAUUUCCACCGCAUCCAGAACAGCUUUGAUCCGGAAUGACAGCGAUUUUCGCCGUCCACCAGUUCCUACCAGACCUGUUUAUGAGGCGAACUUCGUGGUGGAUUACGGCGGUAAUCACAAGAACUCACAAGAACCUGCAGAUUCACGUUCAACCGCGCGAUAACGAGUUGUCUCUCUAAAGACAGACACAUAGACAUAUAAGCAGUAGAUUGUGUCCUUCCAGAGGAGGAAAUCUACUUCUAGACUUCUAGAAUCAGCAUCUCCUCAUCCAUGGUGUCAUCGGGGUGAAAUGACGUCUAAAAACCUUUCACUUGUUCGUCUCCGCCCGUUUGCAUGGUGUGAAAUACGAUCCUCCUGAAACACGGAGUGUUUUAUUUUGAAAAGAAGCCGGAUGUUUUAUUUUGUGUCUGUGCCCGACUUCCUUUCCAGCACGGGUUAAUCUGUGCUGAAUUUAUCCGCCAUGCUCGGGCGUCCAGAAAAAAUAGAACUCUUGUAAUCAGCUGAGGAGUCCGGCGAUCCGCAGAGGAACGGAAAGAAGUCGGUGUAAAUCGACACGUUAACUUGAAUGGUUACGAUCAGCUACGAUCGGAGGAUACGACCUUUUAGGAGACGAUCAGGAUGAGGUGGAGGUCGGGCGUAAACCUUGAGAUGUUGUUUAAAACUGAGGAUGCAGCAUCUAUAAUUUACAGUUCUUCGUUGAAAGGACAACUAAGUCCAGUUGUCCUUUCCAAAAGAGUUUUAGAUUUUGAUUUUGAUCCACAGAGGAACGGAAAGAAGUCGGUGGAAAUUGGGGGUUAGAUGGUCAAACUGCAGAAAGGACCACAGCUCCUUAUGAAAAAGGUCAAACACCAUCACAAACACAAACACCUGAGGAGCUUCUCCACUGUCUGUUUGAGGAGCGUUAAACCUCCUCCUGUCGUUCUGCUCCUGACCUCCGUGGAUCCUCCUGCUGUAGCUCCCCGUUUGUUUACCUGCAGUCAGAGACAUCAAUUAAAGCUUUGUGUGACAUUUUGCGUGCUGAAUUCAAAUGCAGUGAAACCACAGGUAAUUGGUCUUCAGAGCACACCCAGUAAUUAAGUUGCCCACAGCUCCACCUAUCAGUGACCCAUCAGUCAUUAGGAUCUCUGAUAGCACACCUGCUGCUUUUCCACUUGGCAUGGGACUCUAGGAGAGAAAACAAAACUGUAGGAGGGCGAUAAAACGUGGCUUUAAAACCAUUUUACCCAAGAGUGACUAAAAUGUAAAAUAUUUGAUCAUCAUGUGAAGCUCUGAUCUUUGAUUCGCUCCUCAAAACGUCUCUUUUCUGUCCGUUUCUGGUCAGUAUUUCAGAGUGAACGUCCUGUUUCUUCAGUUUGCUUAAACCAGGACGUGAGCUGUGACAGUGUCAGGACGGUGUGAGGAGACAUAAAAUGUCCUCGAGUGCGAUGAGACCUUCAGGAAUGUUCUCCGACAUCUGGAGAGCAUCUGUCGACUCGAACACACAAAGAGGCCGGGAGCUGCCGGCUAGACUUUAAGACAACAUGAGAGGAGCUGACAAGACGGACGCUACUGUCCGCUGCCUCCUAAAUCACAGACACACACACACACACACACACACACACACACACACACGCACACACACACACACACACACACACACACACAGAACCUGAAAGUGUGGAGAUGUUCUGAUGAAUCUGAGCCGGGCUUUUAUUUUGAAAUCGGUUCAGUUAGACUCUUAUUUUGCCUUCAGUCAGAUUUACUCUCAUCGUUUCCAGUUUGGAUCUUUAAUCCUCCUUGAUGAUCCUCCUGAGAUCCUCUUUGGGGGUUCAGGUCAGACCAGCAGACCAGUUUCUGGUAGUUCUGGCGCUGUGGGCGGGUCCAAGGUCCUGCUGGAAAAAGAAACUCCAUAAAGCUUCUCAGAAGAUGAAGGUCUCUGAGACCUCCUGGUAGACUUCAGGCCGGGUUGACUCUGGACUUGGACCCAGUAGACCAGCAGCAGCAGAUGACAUGAAACCCAAAACCACCACAGACUGUGGAGACUUCACGCUGGACUUGAAGCUCCUUAGAUUCUGGACCUUUCCGAUCUUCCUCCAGACUCUGGGACUUCGAUUUCCAAAUGAGACGCUGGAAACAGGACUUUGGACCACUGAGCCUCAGUCCAGUUCUUUGUCUUCUGGGUCCAGGUGAGACUCUGAUGUUGUCUCUGGUUCAGGAGGAACACUUGUAGUCCAUGUCCCGGGAGACUCUGGAUCCUCUAGAAUUGUCAAAAGUAUCGAUUUUUACACGCCGUAUCUGGACUCAAUACUAAUUUGCCAUAGUAUUGAUACUACGGCGUGCGUGCCCGCAGCACAGCCGACUCAGCAGACAGCGUCCAGCAGUCGGAAGAGCCCCCCCAGCUCGCUGUCCCACGUUUUACUGCUGUUAUGUUUGGCCAGCGUUACAAAGUGGUGGCGACAAAGUCGAGAAGCACGACGAAUUUGGCGAAACAUCUCAAGGACCGACACCCCGACCUUCAUGAAGAAUUCCAGCAGGUUAGUGAAGCUCCGUUCAUCUUCUACCUUAGUGUGAUAAACUGAUUCAUGAUGUUAGUCUGACCGGCGGUAAUCCGCGGUAGCUGCGGUUAGCUUCAUGCUCAGUGAAUGUCGGUUGUUUUGUUAUUAGCCAUUGGCCUUUAGCUCGCUAACGUGAGUCUAACGUGUUUUCUCCUCUUAAAGAUACAGACUGAAGCAGAGAGAAGUCGACCUGCGACUAAACCGAAGAAACCACAGCCUCGUCUUCCUCUGAUAUUUGAGAAACAGAAAGUUUGACCCAAAGUCUCAUGAAGCUUCAAAAUAAACCGAGCUGAAGCUGCAGAAUAGAUCUGUGAGGACCGACUAUUAAAACUUAUCUGCCGUUCAAUUUUUCAUGUUAAUAAAAAUAUUUUUAUCCUUUGAAAGUAUUUGUCGUUUUCUAUCCCCACGAUAUCAAAAAUAGUAUCGAGUAUUUUCCUGGGUAUCAGUAUUGAGUUUGAAACUUUAGUAUCGUGACACCCCGAGGAUACUCUGACUCCAUCCUCGGUCCAGAUUAGACCUUUUUUCAGGACUGAACACAAACUGGACUUUUACACGAUAUUCUGACGGAUCAGAAAGCGUUUUUUUGUUUUGGGUGAGCGGUACAGUCCAGCAGGUUCUGGACAGCUCCAUCUCUGCUGCGGUGAACUCUGACCCUUAAGUCCCAAACUUUACAAACAGGCCUGAAGACUCACGCUUCGCUCUGUCCACACAGGUGAAGCAGGUAUAAAUAAACUUUGUCUAGGACUUUAUGGUGGUGAGGAAAGAGAAGAAAGGUGAGGAAGACGGCCGUGAGUCGGCAAAUAUUCUCCUGACACUGAUUAUUUGCUGCAAAUAUUUGCUGCGAAUCAGAGAAUUAAUCUUUGUUUACAGCACAGACAAUCUCUGAUUGUUUAAUAUUCUACCAGCUGAAAAUCAAAUUUGCUUUGACUUUAUCUGUGUAUCCUAUAGCUGCGACGAGGAGCGCAGGAACCGCCGCUGAGUGUGUGAGCGACGGCGUGUGAGGAAGACGGCACGGUUUGUUUUCACUGAGAGGGACAGAGAAAAUAUCAGUGCUCCGAAAAUACACUAAAAUAAACUCACAGAAUAUACAGUCACCCAAAACACACACUCAUAAACACACACACACACACAUAUAAACACACAGCUGUUGUCUUAUCAGUCAUCACAGGUGUUCAUGUUAAAGGAUCCGCCCAUUACCGGUUUCCCACUACGAGGGGAUGUUAGCGUGUGUGUGUGUGUGUGUACCUGUGUAUGUGUGUGUGUGUGUGUGUGUGUGUGUGUGUGUACAGAUUAUUGUCUUCUUUCUGCUCAUCAGUGUCCUUCCUGCUCCUGUACGGUGGCCGUGAACCGCCACUCGCCACGGCGAAGGAAAAAUAAAGAAGUCGCAACGGAAGUUAACGACGAAAAAAAAAAGUGGCGAUGCAAAAUAAAUAAAUAAAUAAAAUAGUUACUUUCUGCGAAAAUAAAAGGAUGCAAAUAAAAAAUUCCUCAACGGAAAUGACAUGUUAACUUGAAUGUUUACGAUCAGCUACGAUCGGAGGAUACGACCUUUUCGUAGACGAUCAGGAUGAAGGUGGCGGUUUGGGGUUAGAGAGCAGGACGAGGGUUUGAUUCCUGCAGGUGAGCUAACGUUUUCAGGAGGACACUUUCUCUCCUGUGUUUCCACGUUAACUCCAACCCCCUGAAUCAGAAACAUGGCUGCAGGGUCACUAACCCCCCCCCCCUUUGACUGUGUGUGUGUGAGUGAGAGGGUGAUAAUUGGUUCUCACCAGGGGGUCUCUGAUUGGAGGCUGGAAAAACAAAUGAGCAUCAGUAACAGGUCUGUGAAAGUGAGAGGGACCCUCAGAGUAACACGUCUGUGAGUCAGGGGGGCGGGGCCAGGAGCUGUCACUCAUCUGGAGACCACAGCCUCACCUCUGCUGUCGUGGUCGUCCUUUCUGACCUGUGUGUUAUUUUUAUUUCAUCAUAGUUGAGUCAGAUCAAUAAAUCAAAUUAAUCAAUAAAACCAUGUUAAAGGAAAUCAGCAGAAAUAUAAACACACAGAGUGAAUGUGAAGCUCUUUCUAACAGAGAGGAGGAAACUCCUGAUUGAUAUUAAUACGACCUCUCAGACCCUAACCCUAAACAGGCCACGCCCACUCAGGUGUCAUGGCCGCCGCCGCUGUGCUCUGGCUUCGGUCCGUCUGAUGUUGUGACUCAUUUGUCCAUAAAAUUAAACUGCUCUGACUUCAGGCUCAUAAAGCUGUUUGAUGUCCCGCCCCCUCAGAUUAAAGUCAGACAGGAGCUGCCAAUCAAACUUUGUCUGUACACGCCCAACUGUCACCAGUUACUGCACACCUGUAUCCUCCUGUAGACAGGUGCAAAGACCGCACAAAACCACACCUGUGCGUCUGAACCUGUCGUGUUUUGUGUUUCUGUUCUUACGUUUUGCUCUCGGAGCGUCGUCUUCUCCGGUUCAGCAGAGAGUGGAGAAGAAACGUUCAUUUUCUCUGAGGAUAAAAACCUGCCGCUGCUCCUCACAGCUGUUUUAUUGUCCUCUCUUACAUGUGUGUGUGUGUGUGUGUGUGUGUGUGUGUGUGUGUGUGUGUGUGUGUGUGUCCAGCUGUACACACACACAGCUAAUGAGCUCCAAGUGCCGGCUGCAGUUGUCACAGUGGUGCGACCGUCACGAAGGCCACAAAACCGGAUGAUUUAAGGUCAUCCUGCUCUGAGGCUGAGAGAGAGAGAGAGAGAGAGGGAGAGAGGGAGAGAAAAGAGAGAGAGAGAGAGAAAGAGAGAGAGAAAGAGAGAGGGAGAGAAAAUAGAGAGAGAGAGAGAGAGAGAGAGAGAGAGAGAGAGAGAGAGGAAACUCAAAGACGAGAAGUUACGACUUAAGUUUGAAAACGGGUUCAGGUUCUUUAAAAAUAACCAAAAAAAUCUGAUAUUUCAUAUUUACAGUUUGUAUCAAGUUAUCAAGAUAAUAUCAGGUAAAUAUAAGACGGUCGUCGUGCACGUCAGUGUAAGGUAACUGUUUAGAUGUUAAAGGUACAGUCCGUAGAAGAGCGAAUGUUCAUACGUCGCUCCCUUGAUCGAGACGUUGAUAAGAUCAACACAAAGUCAAAGAACUCUAAUUUAACACACCUCUGAACUUCGAACACGUCUGUUUGGCUAAAACUUGCUAAAUUAAACACACUGUACCUUCAACAUCAACAAGAAGACGUGAUAAAACCUGAUAUAUAAUAAAAAAAUGUAAUAAGUGGUCGAUAAUGUAACAAGACGCUGAGCCUAAAACGAAACAACCAUCUCACAAACGGAUCGGCGUACGGCGAAAAUCGGAAACCCCGGGAAAGAAAAGACGAACAAGGGGGAAGUGGAUCAGUCUCAGAGAACUCAAAGGUCCAUUCGAUCCUGAACCACAAAGGCAGAUUCAUCCUGACACCCUGCUGUGUGCAGAGCAGGAUCUCAGAGUCCCCAUCAAAACGAAGUCCUGCAGGAGCGGGCUCGGUACUGGUUCUACUGGACCUCAGUGUAUGACUCAGUGGACCAUCAUAUUGUGGUUGAUAGGUAGGUACUGGUGGUCCUGCUUUAGACCGGCUCUCAGUGGAGUUCUCAAGGUUCUGCCCUCAGCCCGGUUCUGUUAACCCUUUCCCUGCUUCCACUUGGCCACAUAACACCAGAAGAUCCACCGGUUAUAGAUAUCACUCACACCCACCAACGUCACCAUGGUAACCAAACUCCUCAAGUGUUUUAGUGCUUCAUGAAAACAGACGAGAAGAACGACAACAGGACUGAAAACAACCAGAACCGAACCAGGACUGAACCAGGACUGAACCAGGACUGAACCAGAACUGAACCAGGACUGAACCAGGACUGAACCAGGACCACCAACAGGUCCACCCGCCUGGUUAGACUGUUUUUCUACCUUCCCGAAACCUUAAAAUGGUCGUGGUCUGAGGAGGGGGCGAUGAAGAAGAGGAGGAGGAGGAGAAGAAGAAGGAGGCUGGAAGGACGAAAAAAGCCGGGGGAAGGACUGAAGGCCAGCAGAGGGGGAGGAGGGGAGAGAGAAAGAGAGAGAGAGAGAGAGAGAGAGAGAGAGAGAGAGAGAGAGAGAGAGAGAGAGAGAGGGAGAGAGAGGGAGAAAGAGAGGGAGACGGCCGCUACCAGGGGAUGAAUGAGAGCUACUAUGUCUGCUGGCUCCGGAUGCUGUGUGUGUGUGUGUGUGUGUGUGUGUGUGUGUGUGUGUGUGUGUGUGUGUGUGUGUGUGUGUGUGUGUGUGUGUGUGUGUGUGUGUGUGCGGCUGAACGGGGCUCCUUGAGGAGAGCCUGACAGCCUCUCACGCUCAGGUAGACAAGCCUCACUUAUUUUCACAUCACAGGCCGAAAACUCACCGCAGCUCAGGUUGAGCCACUUCAGACACCGUAGAUUCUUAUUUUUACCUCUAACAUAGAAAACAGAGCUAGAUUCUGCACCGAGUCCCAGACAGACACCGGGUCAGGUAUCUGGUUGUUGAGGACCGUACAGGGACCCCCAUGAGGUUCUACUAAUGCAGCAGGUCUUAACAGAACUUUAACGUGAAAUAUAACAACCAAAAAGGACCUGAGACCCAAUAAGACAGGUGUGCGUCCAUAAAGAUAACCAAUCAUUGUCCUCCUGCAGUCAGAGGUGAUAUCUUAUCAGUCUGCAGUCUGAUACUAUAAAUAAGAGGAAGCAGACGGCUGUAAACGCUGCAGGAUGUAACUCCGGCUUCGAUUUAGACGAGUGAACGAUCAGCUCCGACUCUGCAGGCUCACCUGUGGAGCUCCGACAGGUGUGUGUAAGUCUGAACACCACAGAGACGACACUGUAGAUUCACUUUGAGAUGAUCAGACUCUGAGAAGUUCUGACCCAGAUCCUGAUCCAUUCGCUCAAAAGUUCUCCACGUGUCUACCUCUGACUAAAUCAAAGGAGGCCGGCCACAUCCGCCAUGUUUGGAGACAUUUGCAUGAUACAAGCGGAGAUAAGAGCAUCGGUAUCGUCAGAAAACGUCCUGAGGUGAUCGGAACAAAAUACCUGAAAAUCCAGUUUGAGCGAAAAACAAACAGAAAAACUCUGUUCAGGUAAAUAAAGGAGACAGAGGGCCGCCACCGCCACCGCCGCCGCUGCGGUUAUUAGACAGUGGAGUCCUUCAGAGCAGGAUCAGUUGGCCUGUUAGCCCCCGGGGUUUUCUCCCGCUCUGUUUGAUUAGUCAUUACAGCCUGAAGGCGUCUUUAUCGUCCUCCUCUACUUAGGGAUGCAAACUCAGUUUCCUUUAUCAGCGAGUGUGACACAGGUCACUGAGUCAGAGCGUGAAGACUGUAACCGCUGUCACAGGAUUUACAUGUCGGCCUGUAAAACACGACGAAGACCGUCUCCUCAAACCGUCUCUGAACUUUGUUUUUGGACGUGGAGGAAUGUCCGAGUCUGAAAUACUUCUUCUCCUCGACUCUUCCUCCUCUCAUCUCUCCAUUUCUGUCUCCCCCUCUCUCUCUCUCUCCCCCUCCACUCUCACUCCCUCCUGUCAAAAUAAACACAUUGAGAGCUGCCCUUCUUUUCAUUCAGAGCCCACAGCCUCGUCUAGGGCCCGCUGCUGUCCUCCUGUCUGUGUCCCCUGUGUGUGUGUUUCUCUAAAGUAUUUAUGACACACAUUGAAAAGCUGCUUUUUUACACCUCCUCCUCCUCCUCCUCUUCCUCCUCCUCCACCUCCUCCUCCUCCUCAUCUUGCCCCGGCGUGGUAUCUGACAUAACCGGCGCUGGGUUUCUCUCCACAGCGCUGCCUUCCUGGCAGAUAGAGGGGCCGCCGACCGCCGCUGGGGGAACUUUCCUGGCUCGGGGAAGCCGUUGGACAAUCACGCCUUUCAUGGGCCGGAGAAAACGCCGCCCGUCCAGCGGCUCCCAGGCCACGGCGCGGGGAAUUUCUCCCUGGACCCUCUCUCUGUCUCUGACUGCUGUUCUGUGCUG
Molecule: long non-coding RNA, 11211 nt
Filed under: Xyrichtys novacula (pearly razorfish)
Lineage: Eukaryota; Metazoa; Chordata; Actinopteri; Labriformes; Labridae
Source: RNAcentral